GCUUUGCGCGCUACCAUGCAGUCGAGCGGUAACAGAGAGGUGCUUGCACCUUUGCUGACGAGCGGCGGACGGGUGAGUAAUGCUUGGGAACAUGCCUUGAGGUGGGGGACAACAGUUGGAAACGACUGCUAAUACCGCAUAAUGUCUACGGACCAAAGGGGGCUUCGGCUCUCGCCUUUAUAUUGGCCCAAGUGGGAUUAGCUAGUUGGUGAGGUAAUGGCUCACCAAGGCGACGAUCCCUAUCUGGUUUGAGAGGAUGAUCACCCACACUGGGACUGACACACGGCCCACACUCCUACGGGAGGCAGCAGUGGGGAAUAUUGCACAAUGGGCGCAAGCCUGAUGCACCCAUGCCGCGUGUGUGAAGAAGGCCUUCGGGUUGUAAAGCACUUUCAGUCAGGAGGAAAGGUUAGUCGUUAAUACCGGCUAGCUGUGACGUUACUGACAGAAGAAGCACCGGCUAACUCCGUGCCAGCAGCCGCGGUAAUACGGAGGGUGCGAGCGUUAAUCGGAAUUACUGGGCGUAAAGCGUACGCAGGCGGUUUGUUAAGCGAGAUGUGAAAGCCCCGGGCUCAACCUGGGAACUGCAUUUCGAACUGGCAAACUAGAGUGUGAUAGAGGGUGGUAGAAUUUCAGGUGUAGCGGUGAAAUGCGUAGAGAUCUGAAAGAAUACCGAUGGCGAAGGCAGCCACCUGGGUCAACACUGACGCUCAUGUACGAAAGCGUGGAGAGCAAACAGGAUUAUAUACCCUGGUACUCCACGCCGUACACGAUGUCUACUAAAAGCUCGGUUCCUCGGAACUGUUUUUCAAAGCUAACGCAUUAAGUACACCGCCUGGAGAGUACGGCCGCAAGGUUAAAACUCAAUGAAUUGACGGGGGCCCGCACAAGCGGUGGAGCAUGUGGUUUUAUUUCGAUGCAACGCGAAGAAUCUUACCUACACUUGACAUACAGAGAAUUUACCAGAGAUGGUUUUGG
RNAcentral lists this ribosomal RNA (978 nucleotides) under Pseudoalteromonas sp. Its description in RNAcentral is "bacterial SSU rRNA". It matches the Rfam family "Bacterial small subunit ribosomal RNA", at positions 39 to 1015 of the family's 1533-position model. The record is from RNAcentral. Lineage: Bacteria; Pseudomonadati; Pseudomonadota; Gammaproteobacteria; Alteromonadales; Pseudoalteromonadaceae.